RNAcentral lists this ribosomal RNA (422 nucleotides) under uncultured bacterium. RNAcentral describes it as "bacterial SSU rRNA". It matches the Rfam family "Bacterial small subunit ribosomal RNA", at positions 358 to 773 of the family's 1533-position model. The record is from RNAcentral.
GGAAUAUUGGACAAUGGGCGAAAGCCUGAUCCAGCCCCGCCGCGUGAGUGAUUAAGGCCUUCGGGUCGUAAAGCCCUGUGGGGAGGGACGAACCCUCCAAGGUGAAUAGCCUUGGAGUUGACGGUACCUCCCUAGCAAGCACCGGCUAACUACGUGCCAGCAGCCGCGGUAAUACGGCGGGUGCAACCGUUGCUCGGAAUCAUUGGGCGUAAAGCGCACGUAGGCGGUCCGGUAAGUCGGAUGUGAAAGCCCUCGGCUCAACCGAGGAAGUGCAUUCGAAACUGCCGGACUUGAGUACGGGAGGGGGCUGCGGAAUUCCCGGUGUAGAGGUGAAAUUCGUAGAUAUCGGGAGGAACACCAGUGGCGAAGGCGGCAGCCUGGACCGAUACUGACGCUGAGGUGCGAAAGCGUGGGGAGCAAAC